GGAGGCUGGGGGGAGAAUGCCCUGGGACUCCCAGUGGGCAGCACAGAAGACUGGGCACCUGGCCCCAGGCCGCCAGGACUGAGAGCCUCAGGUGAGCUGGUGCAGGGUCCAGGGGAGCAGGAGACAGCGAGGGAGCAAGCUGUGACUCGGGAGAGAGAGAGGAGCUGCCCCUCUAGGGCAGGGUGGCCACUGGGCCUCCUGGCCUCCAGCUCCACCUCCAGCCACAGUGUGACUUAGCAAGGCCUGGCCCUCCCGAGCCUUGGUUUCCAGUGACCCUCAGGCCACUCGGUAUGUCUGAGAGGACGGUGGAGGACUCCCUGGCUCUCGCAGGGCUCAGCGGGUGCAGUUCCCUCCGGGAUUCAUCCUUCAGAGAAGCAGGCUGCUGGGCAGAGCCCAGGGAGUGUGCUGAGUGGGGGACAGGCUUCCCUGGGCGGGACGCCACAGCUGUGGAGAAGCAGCCUGCUCAGGCGACAGACGGGAGCUGUCCAGGGCCGGAGCGUGGGCAAGGAGAGCAGAGAGGGAGGAGAGGGGUUCUGGGGCCAGGGGGUCCCCGGAAGAGGAGAAGAUGAUAGAGUAGGACAGGGGGGAGGGGUCCUUGGAGCUCCGCCAAGGAAGGGUGGUUGCCACCAUCCUGAGCGUGGACAGAGCUUAGGAGGGAAGGAGGCCCAGGCCAAAGGGCCGCCCUGUGGCUCAGGGUCUUAGUGAUGCGGCCUCUGCCUGCCCCUGCCCUGCCCCGAGGGACAGCCCACUCUCCCUCUGGCCCAGCCUGCCCACCCUCCAAGGCCACCUGCUCUUCAGAGCCUCAGGGCAUCUGAGUCUUUUCAAGGACUUCUGACCGGGCAGGCUCCUUACCCUUGGCCUCUUCCAGGGUGAUAAAUGGCUAGAAAUCAUGGCCCCUGUCUGGGGCUCCAGAGGGUUUCAGCCACCCACCCUCCCUAGCGCCUGCUCCUCCCAACACACGCGAACAUGAGAAAAUCCUUCCUGGAAACCGAGCCCAGGAUCCUGAAGUGGGUGCAGGAGCGGUGGCCCCAACUCAGCAAAAAAAAAAAAAAAAAAAUUCCAGAGGCUUCUGUGCAGCUGAGUUUCCAUGGGAACAUGUGCCCGUGGCUCCAAUCCUGAUCCUCCGUGAGGCUGGGUUCCCUUCCCAGCCAGGACCGCAGGACUUCCGCGGGAGGCCUCAGCCGGGCGCUGCCACCGCUCUGGCCUCCAGCCCUCACUAACCUGAAAUCAAGUUACCGACAAACCUGCCUUUUCCCCAUCUAAUUUAAAGGCCACGCUCCCCUCUGAGGAUGCCUCUGGGAUUUCAGGGAUGGAUUUUUAUGUAGUUCCAUAGUUCUCUUGGCAGAUGGCUCCUCCAGGAGAGGUGAGCCUGUGCCUCAGCCCAGCCAGGCUGAGGUGUAGCCCCUGCUGCCCAAUGCUAGGGGAUGUCAUUUGCCCAGAGGGGCAUGGCCAGCUCUGAAGCCAGACUUCAGUGUUGGGGACAUCAACGUGAAGCUCUGAGACACCUUCCUUUCUCACUCCUCCCUUGAACUGUGGUCGUGAUUUUGGCCUCUGGGUCUUGGCGGAGUCUUGACAGUGUGCGGGUCAGGCCGUACUCUCUGCACUUGGCAUGGGCCCAUUUUGAGCGAGUGUCUGAGCAGAGGACACAGACACAUGCUGUGGUAGAGCAUUUUAGCUACAGCAAGGAGGUAUUCCUUCUGCUGUGCCUGCCACACCCCAGCCUCCACCCUAGGCCCCUCUCAGAGGUAACCCCGAGGUCACAUGGGAGUGUUUUCCUCUUUGCUGUUUUUAUUUAGGUCUGUGGCACAUGAGGUCAAAACCUAGGCUGUACCACAUGCUAGGCGAGGGCACUACGCCUGAGCCACAUCCUCAGCCCCCUUUUUAAUUUUACUUUGAGACAGGGAGGGUCUUGCUAAGUUGCCUCAGACUUAUGAUCCUCAAGCCUCAGCCUCCCAAGUCACUGCCAUUCUAGGGUCACAACACCACGAUAAUGCCAGCGUUCUUCACGGUUCUUAUCACAUUUAUGCACACCUAUGGGGACAUACCGGGCAUCUGUGGGGGUUCUGAGAGCUGAGGUGGAGCUGUUCUGUAGGAGUUGUCAGCUCUGGCUUUGUUCACUCGGCCCCACGUGGUGGGGAUGUGCCCGAGCCAGCAUGUAGGAGCUGCCAGACUCUAAUUACAGCCGAGGACUCACAGGAC
RNAcentral lists this long non-coding RNA (2199 nucleotides) under Marmota monax (woodchuck). The record is from RNAcentral. Lineage: Eukaryota; Metazoa; Chordata; Mammalia; Rodentia; Sciuridae.